GACGAACGCUGGCGGCGUGCUUAACACAUGCAAGUCGAACGAAGAGCGAUGGAAGCUUGCUUCUAUCAAUCUUAGUGGCGAACGGGUGAGUAACGCGUAAUCAACCUGCCCUUCAGAGGGGGACAACAGUUGGAAACGACUGCUAAUACCGCAUACGAUCCAAUCUCGGCAUCGGGACUGGAUGAAAGGUGGCCUCUAUUUAUAAGCUAUCACUGAAGGAGGGGAUUGCGUCUGAUUAGCUAGUUGGAGGGGUAACGGCCGACCAAGGCGAUGAUCAGUAGCCGGUCUGAGAGGAUGAACGGCCACAUUGGGACUGAGACACGGCCCAGACUCCUACGGGAGGCAGCAGUGGGGAAUCUUCCGCAAUGGACGAAAGUCUGACGGAGCAACGCCGCGUGAGUGAUGACGGCCUUCGGGUUGUAAAGCUCUGUUAAUCGGGACGAAUGGUUCUUGUGCGAAUAGGGCGAGGAUUUGACGGUACCGGAAGAGAAAGCCACGGCUAACUACGUG
Molecule: ribosomal RNA, 510 nt
Filed under: uncultured bacterium
Lineage: Bacteria
Description: partial 16S ribosomal RNA
Rfam family: Bacterial small subunit ribosomal RNA
Source: RNAcentral